RNAcentral lists this ribosomal RNA (253 nucleotides) under uncultured bacterium. RNAcentral's name for it is "partial 16S ribosomal RNA". It matches the Rfam family "Bacterial small subunit ribosomal RNA", at positions 524 to 776 of the family's 1533-position model. The record is from RNAcentral.
UACAGAGGGGGCAAGCGUUAUUCGGAAUUAUUGGGCGUAAAGGGCGCGUAGGCGGCCUGGCAAGUGGAAGGUGAAAUCCCUCGGCUUAACCGAGGAACUGCCUCCCAAACUGCUUGGCUUGAGACCGGGAGAGGUGAGUGGAAUUCCCAGUGUAGCGGUGAAAUGCGUAGAUAUUGGGAGGAACACCAGUGGCGGAGGCGGCUCACUGGACCGGUACUGACGCUGAUGCGCGAAAGCGUGGGGAGCAAACGGG